GACGAACGCUGGCGGCGUGCUUAACACAUGCAAGUCGAACGGGAAGGCCCUGCUUCUGUGGGGUGCUCGAGUGGCGAACGGGUGAGUAACCCGUGAGUAACCUGCCCUCGACUUUGGGAUAACGUCAGGAAACCGGGGCUAAUACCGGAUAGGAGCUCCUGCUGCCUGGUGGGGGUUGGAAAGUUUCGGCGGUUGGGGAUGGACUGGAGGUUUAUGAGCUGGUUGGUGGGGUAGUGGCUUACCAAGGCUGUGACGGGUAGCCGGCGUUGGCAGGGGACGGGCCACCAUGGGACGACGGUGACGCGCAGAAUACUACGGGGGGCAGCAGCGGUGAGUAAUGCACAGUGAGCGGAAGCCGGAUGAAGCAGCGCCGCGUGCGGGAUGACGGCGGUCGGGGGGUAAACCGCUUUCGCCUGUGAAGAAGCGUGAGUGACGGUAACGGGUAAAGAAGCACCGGCUAACUACGUG
Molecule: ribosomal RNA, 468 nt
Filed under: uncultured bacterium
Lineage: Bacteria
Description: partial 16S ribosomal RNA
Rfam family: Bacterial small subunit ribosomal RNA
Source: RNAcentral